AUUGAACGCUAGCGGCAGGCCUAACACAUGCAAGUCGAACGGUAGCACAGAGAGCUUGCUCUUGGGUGACGAGUGGCGGACGGGUGAGUAAUGUCUGGGAAACUGCCCGAUGGAGGGGGAUAACUACUGGAAACGGUAGCUAAUACCGCAUAACGUCUUCGGACCAAAGUGGGGGACCUUCGGGCCUCACACCAUCGGAUGUGCCCAGAUGGGAUUAGCUAGUAGGUGGGGUAAUGGCUCACCUAGGCGACGAUCCCUAGCUGGUCUGAGAGGAUGACCAGCCACACUGGAACUGAGACACGGUCCAGACUCCUACGGGAGGCAGCAGUGGGGAAUAUUGCACAAUGGGCGCAAGCCUGAUGCAGCCAUGCCGCGUGUAUGAAGAAGGCCUUCGGGUUGUAAAGUACUUUCAGCGGGGAGGAAGGCGAUACGGUUAAUAACCGUGUCGAUUGACGUUACCCGCAGAAGAAGCACCGGCUAACUCCGUGCCAGCAGCCGCGGUAAUACGGAGGGUGCAAGCGUUAAUCGGAAUUACUGGGCGUAAAGCGCACGCAGGCGGUCUGUCAAGUCAGAUGUGAAAUCCCCGGGCUUAACCUGGGAACUGCAUUUGAAACUGGCAGGCUUGAGUCUCGUAGAGGGGGGUAGAAUUCCAGGUGUACGGUGAAAUGCGUAGAGAUCUGGAGGAAUACCGGUGGCGAAGGCGGCCCCUGGACGAAAACUGACGCUCAGUGCGAAAGCGUGGGGAGCAAAACAGGAUUAGAAUACCCUGGUAGUCCACGCUGUAAACGAUGUCGACUUGGAA
Molecule: ribosomal RNA, 802 nt
Filed under: uncultured bacterium
Lineage: Bacteria
Description: bacterial SSU rRNA
Rfam family: Bacterial small subunit ribosomal RNA
Source: RNAcentral